AACGAACGCUGGCGGCAUGCCUAACACAUGCAAGUCGAACGGGCACUUUCGGGUGCUAGUGGCGCACGGGUGCGUAACGCGUGGGAAUCUGCCCUGGGGUACGGAAUAACUCAGAGAAAUUUGAGCUAAUACCGUAUGAUGACGUAAGUCCAAAGAUUUAUCGCCCUGGGAUGAGCCCGCGUUGGAUUAGCUAGUUGGUGGGGUAAGAGCCUACCAAGGCGACGAUCCAUAGCUGGUCUGAGAGGAUGAUCAGCCACACUGGGACUGAGACACGGCCCAGGCUCCUACGGGGGGCAGCAGUGGGGAAUAUUGGACAAUGGGCGCAAGCCUGAUCCAGCAAUGCCGCGUGAGUGAUGAAGGCCUUAGGGUUGUAAAGCUCUUUUACCCGGGAAGAUAGUGACUGUACCGGGAGAAUAAGCCCCGGCUAACUCCGUGCCAGCAGCCGCCGUAA
This 451-nucleotide ribosomal RNA is filed under the name uncultured bacterium. RNAcentral's name for it is "partial 16S ribosomal RNA". It matches the Rfam family "Bacterial small subunit ribosomal RNA", at positions 29 to 523 of the family's 1533-position model. The record is from RNAcentral.